This 245-nucleotide ribosomal RNA is filed under the name uncultured Sporobacter sp. RNAcentral describes it as "partial 16S ribosomal RNA". It matches the Rfam family "Bacterial small subunit ribosomal RNA", at positions 524 to 768 of the family's 1533-position model. The record is from RNAcentral. Lineage: Bacteria; Bacillati; Bacillota; Clostridia; Eubacteriales; Oscillospiraceae.
UACGUAGGUGGCGAGCGUUAUCCGGAUUUACUGGGUGUAAAGGGCGCGUAGGCGGGCUAUCAAGUCAGAUGUGAAAUCCCUCGGCUUAACUGAGGACCUGCAUUUGAAACUGGUAGUCUUGAGUAUCGGAGAGGCAGGCGGAAUUCCGUGUGUAGCGGUGAAAUGCGUAGAUAUACGGAGGAACACCAGUGGCGAAGGCGGCCUGCUGGACGACAACUGACGCUGAGGCGCGAGAGCGUGGGGAG